UGAGGAAGGGAGGAGGAUUGGGCCACUGGGUGCGGUUACCGGGAACCCAGGCCCAUCAAUCACUGGCCACUUUUCGUGCUGGCAUGGAGAACAGUGAGGUGGAGGAGCAGGGGAGGUGCUGGGGAGAGGUGCCAGCAUUUCCUCCAGUGGCCAGGACCUCCCAAAGCAGUUGACUUGGGCCUGGAGCCCGAAAUCACAGCCAGGGUAGUAGGUAAGGUGGUUUCUUGGUGUUUUGUCCAGUCGGCUUAGCCCAAGGAAUGUGGUAAACUUGUGAAAGGAAGUUGGGAACGGAGGUCUGAGGUUCCUGAAGAAAGAGGGACAAGCGCGAGGGGCCAUGGACCCAAAGACUGGUGAGGUGACUGGAGGGCAGAGUUGAGAGCAGAGUGGUUCCUCUGUCCUGACGUGAAGAAAGUGUCCUGGAGGUUAUGUACAAAUGAGUGUGGUGCCUUGGGGUCUGGACCAUGGAACCUCACUGCUGCAAGGAAGCCAACGUGGCGUUCAUCUUGCCCGACCCUUUACUUUACAGAUGUGGAAACCAAGAGCCAGAGAGGGGAAUUUGGUGGAAUCCUGUCCUGCAGUUGCUCUGUGUUCCUGCAUUUGGAAAGUUCCUGGAAAUAGGAAAAGGAGAAGCAUGUAGGUGUGGAGGGAGGAAAGUCAGAUGAGGAGGGCAAGCAGGAUCUUAUCGGCCACCGGCUGACGUCUCACAUCUCGGACCCUCGAGUCUUAGAAGCGGCAUGGCCAAGGCCCGGAGUGUGGUCCUCAGCACUAAAAAAAAGCAAGGUAGAGGAGUCAGGCAGGUGCAGCCUGUGGAGCAUUACUGGGGGACAUUUCCUUCACACCACCAGUCCAGGGCUGUCUCAUCCGUCCCCAGGCUUCCAAGUAGAUGGAAUUCCUGCAGCCCUGCUCCGUGGGAUUUUGUCAUGGCCUCUAAGGUUCACAGGGAAGGAAAUGACUCCUUCACCAGAAAUAAAUCCCCAACCAAGACUAAAUAGUGAACGCUUUUGGAACUCUUAGCCCAAGUUUGUCUGCUGUAAAUUAAGCCAUUAGAGAAAGUUACACCAAAAAGUGUAAUGAGAAGUGAUCUUCUACCUCUUCUCCAUGUCUAAGCCUAGAACAGACGGAAUUGAGAUGCAAGGCCCUGAAGGUGGAGUUCCCAGGAUACCUGGCCCUGCAUCUCUUAGUCAGAGCCACUCUGGCUCUUGUGGCUUUGGUACCUGGACAGAAAGACAGCUUUCAGCCACCACUUUCCCCACCCCUUCCUUCCCUUCCUGUUUACCUGCUUGGGGGAAGGAAGGAAGAGUGAGGCGACAGGAGCUUCCUGCCAGGUUGCCAAAGGUGGUCUUUCUUAGCACCCUCCUCUUUCCUCAAAAUAUUCAAGACUCUGUUCCAAGCUUCGUGACACAAAGUUGGGGUAGGAGCAAAGAUACAGAGCUUGGAGGCAGCCAGUGGAAACUGUCCCACUCCAGGCCACCACACCCUCUUCCCACCCCAAAAACUGUCUUCUCUGUCCUAGUGGACCACUUCAUACCCCCGGCCCUGGGGAGGAGCAGGAUCUGCCUCUCCGGUCCCAGCCUCACGCUGCCCUUCCCUGAGUCGCCCCGAGUCUGCUUGCUUGCUGUUCGAUCUUCAGCCCACUCCACAGCCCGUGGGGUGAGAAGGCCCUUGUGUCCCCGAGCACAGCUGGAGAGACCCCUCCAAGGACCGCUGCCUUCUUUGAAGCACUGAGGGCUGCUGGUGGAGAACUGGGCCAGGGCUGGAAAGGAAGGUUCUGCCAUCAGGGGUUAUGGGGAAGCCUGCAAGUGGGGAGCAGGCAGAGGUGACAUCCUAACCCUCUGGGCAGGGACAUUCACAGUGAGUGUCACUUGGGGGUUUAUUAGUGGCAGCUGUGUACAAGCUGCUCUUUCUAUCUGGAACCCAGAGCAGUGAAAAAGAACACGCAGUGGAGGCUCUGCCACCCUCACUCACCCUUUGUUACCCGUCUCCCCUCCCUACUGCAGCAUAUUGCAGGGGCUGGAAGGUCCUGACACCCUCACCCCAGAUUCUGGGUGUUUCCCUAAAGAACAGAGCCUCCCUCCCUCUGGCCCUGCCGGCCCUGCCUCACACUCCAAGGUCUCUGCAGCCUGCUGGCUGAGCCUGGAGCUUGCCCUGGAGUCCAGGAGAAACCUAGAGCUGUUUGGGGGAAAGAGGGUGGACGAGCUGCAUGGAAGGCAGAGGAGGCAGCAUCCAGAAUUCCCUGCCUUCUGGAGGAAAGGAAAGGAACGGGUCAAGGUGCCUGGCACUGACUUGGCACAGCUUCUUUUCUGUGGGACCCAGCCUCUCCCUCCCUUUCCUGUGCUUGGGAGAACUGCAGAAACUCGAGCCUGUCCCUCGGAUACCUGGAGGACACAUGCAGGUUCCCAGUGCUGGGAAAGGCAGGAGUGAGGGGGAGGGGAGGUGGCAGUGUGUGGUGCCCAUCAGCACCCAAGGGGAGGGCCGAGGAGGAAGCCCGAGGACAUGCCUGCCCAAAACAGCCGCCGUACCCCACCCUCUCCUGCUCCCCCUUCAUGCCAGUGAGCUGUGCCCAAGUACCAGUUCUCCUGGCUGGCAAUCCCGUUCUGUGUGCAGGCAGCCGGCUCCCUCUCCCAGAACAGCAUAGGCUGGGAUCUCUCACACUCCUCACUCUGGCUCUCUCAUCUCUGUGUGUCUGUUGUGGAUUCCAAGGGAUGCAGGGGGCUGGCCCUGUGGUAAAGGGGCAGCCCUGGGCCCCUUAGGUGCCUAUUGGCUGGGCUGGCGGAGUAGGGCAGGGAGACUGCUGACAACUUGGGGGAGCCAGAGGUUAUGGAGGGCAGCUAUCCCCAAGGGCUAGAGGGCUACACGUGUGCUGGAGCAGCCCAAUCCCCGGCUUCUUCCAGGAGAGGAGACCGCUACUCCUCCCUGCCCUCCCUGCUGCCUAAAACCCUGGGUAGCCAGCAAGACCAGAACCUGGACAGAUGCUCACCUCUCGGUGCUGUCCACCCUAGAGCAGGUACCUGGGACCAGAGAGGAGCAGCAAGGGGCUGGGGCUGGCUGAAAGGCCUGGGCAGGCUGGGAAUGGUGCAGAACCACAGGUGUUUGAAAGCACUAAUGCCCUCCCCAUUCACAGGCCAGGUGGGCAGAUGCGCCUUCUCCAUCCUCUCUGGAUCGGGGUGACAGGAGGCUGCGCUGGAGGUCACACCAGCUCCUCCUGCAGCUGGGGUGAGGGGCCCAAUGCCCAGCUUCUCCUAAUGAUCCAGCAACAGCUUUGCUUGGAAAAGAGACCACCCACACUUCACCCAGGGCAGCAGGUCGGCCCUGGACCCUCCCCUCCUCCGAGGCAGCACCAGAAGCCUAGGGAGCCUGUGACAAAGCUUGGUCCUGACUCCCAGCACAGCCCUGCGCUCUGGGUGUGAAAGCUGCGCUGUGAGGGGCCUGGGUGCACCAGGCGGGUCGUGGGCAGGUGUGGGGCACUGAGCCCCAGGAGCAAGCUCUUCCUGGCUCCCUGCUGAGAGCCUCCUGCUUUUGAGGCCUUUGCACCAGAGACUGCCAUCAGGAUCUGAACCCAGCCGCCCAGAUUCUGCUGCCUCCCCAACCCUGCGGAUGCCUGGGGACUGGCAAAGACUCAUCUGUCCUCAUCCUGGCUACACGUAUGCCCAGGCCUAGACUGGUGUGUGCACUGGCACUGGGGCCCUGCCUCGGAGCAGAGGGCAGCCUAGGUGUGCACUGGGGCCCCAGCCCUGAAUGCAUGUGUGCCUGUGCAUUGGGCACACUGGUUUAUUAGUGUUAUUUCAGCAUUGUGAUGCAGAGAGAGUAAGUGUAACAGCUGCUCCUUGCUUGCAGUGUUUAUUGUUACCUAGAGACAACCUCCUGGCUUUUUCCCAGCUCCCCUCCCCCCAGCCCAGCCCCCUCCCUGCCAACAAUCCUGCUCUCCCUACACUGAUGGGAAAUUUAUAGCUUGUCCAUACCAUGCCUUUAACCCUCUCCUGUCCGUCGGUGGAUGGGCCAGGAAGCCAGGCUGAGCAGUGGGCAUACUUGGGCCCCAGCAGAGUUGAACAAUGUGUGGGAGAGAGAGGGAGGAAUGACACGUCCCCCUCCACCCUGUGUGCCCAGGCUCAGGCCCCAGUUGCCCUCCUGGUCCUCACAAGAAGAGAGGAGAGGAAAGAGCUCUUGACCUGCUCUUGAGAUCUGGGAAGAGUUCUUUUGGCCCUAGCCUCAGGGUCCCGACAUCCUCCUGACAAGACCUUUCUCUUCCCUGGGCAACCCUAAGCCCCCAGCUGCAUUAGCUGAACCAGAGCGAUGGAGCCAGGUAGCACUGAAGUGGAAGUGGAAAACCCAAGUAGCAGAACCCUUAGCCCCUCUUUUCUGUCUGAGAGAGGCAACUCUAGAGAUGUCUGGCCAGAUACUGGCCAGACCUCCACGUCUGGGUAGACAUCAGACCGGAAGCCCACUGUAUCCUGAGUCUGAGAUGGCACCCAGGUCCCAGGAGACUCCUGGGCUCAUCUGCAAGCUGGCCUUGGUCUGCCUGUCCUUCCUGCUCCAUCUCUCCUGUGUGUCUUUUGGUUUGGUACCUUGGACAGAGGCCAAAGGGGCUGAAGCACCCUCAUCAUGUCCUCCGAGGAGCUGGGAAAAUAGAAGUCCCUGGAACCAUUCAUGGAGAAGUCAGGAGGAACCAGGCCAUCAGCUCCCCAUCCUCACUGGAAGCAAAGGGAGAAAAGAGACUGGACGUCAGCAGGCAAGAUGGAGGUUAAACACACGAGAAAACUUCCUCUAGGAUGAAAGACCAGAGUGGGCCUACUUCUCUCCAGAGGUCUGUCUUCUGCCUACAAGGGAUUGGAGUCCUACAUGUACAGGGAACGCCGGAGAACGUGCUUCCUUCUGCGGGCUGCCUCAGUCUCCACACAGCACACCUCCUCACGCCAUCAAAAUAUCAUACCUGUGGUGCUCAGAUCACGGAUUAACCCAGCAGAGGGCCAGGUUCCAGUGCCAGCCCUGCCACUCGCCAGCUGCCUUGGUAAGUCACUUGGCCCCUUUGAGCCUGAGUGUCCUUAUCUGUGAUGUGCAGGUGAACAGCUCCCCUUGGGUGGUUGUGAGAAUCUGCACACACAUGUGUAAAGCACCCAGGACAGUGCCCGACAGUGGGCACGCAAUGCAGUAGAGCACUGUUACUGCAGAGCCAGCAGGGCCCACGUGGUUCCACACUCUGUGAUGCCCCCCACUUGCCAGGAGAAUGUUCGUUGUUUUCUUCAUGGCGUGGACUAGAGUGGCAGUGCCCUAGAAAGGACCCAGAUUCCCCAAGGAGUCAGUUCCCCCAUUCCCGUGCCUCCCUAGCCAGGAAAGAAGCUAUGGUCCCAUGCCACCUCUUAGCCACUCUUGUACCUGGCAGCCCUAAGAAGGAUAGCAACAACUAGCUUUCUCCAGGCACUUUACAGUUUGCCAAGUACAUUGACCUACAUUAGCUCUUUUUUUGGUACUGGGGAUCAAACUCAGGACCCUGUGCUUGCAAAGCAGGCAGUGGAACCACUGAGCUACAUCUCCAGCCCCUAUAUUAGCUCUUUUGAUAUCCAGAGCAAUCCAGGAAGAAAAGAGAACUGCAUUUAUUGGGUGUCUACUAUGUACCAGCAUUGUACUGGGUGAUUUUUUAAAUUUGUUGUUUUUGGGUUGAUUUUGUGUUUUUUGUUUGUUUUGGUUUUGGGUUUUGGGAAGAUGGGGUGACACAGGGUCUCACUAUGUAGUCGAGGCCAGCCUUGAACUCACUGUGUAUCCCAAACUAGCCUUGAACUCAUAGAGAUCCUCCUGCCUCAGCCACCCCAGUGCAGGGAUUACAGAUUGUACCACCAUGUCAGGCUCUGAGUGUUUUUUUUUGCGGGGGGGUACCGGGGAUCGAACUUGGGACCUUGCAUUUGCGAGGCAGGCGCUGGAACCACUGAGCUAAAUCCCCAGCCCUUCUGGGUGUAUUUUUUUAAAGCAUCUUUAAAGUCUACGUAGAGUAUUUUAUCACCUACAUACACUGUGAUUUAUGUCUCAUCACCUAUUUUUAAUCAUUUAUAUCUUUUCACUGCUAUAAAUAAUAUGGCAGUGAAUAUCCAAACACAUAAAAUUUCUUCCCUUUUUUCCCCCCUGUAUAUGUGUGUGUGUGGUACUGGGGAUUGAACCCUGGACCUUGCACAUACUAGGCAGGCGCUCUUCCACUGAGCUAUAUUCCCAGCCUGUUUUUAACAUUUGUUUGUUUAUUUAUUUAUUUAUUUAUUUAGACAAAGUCUUGCUAAAUUGCCCAGGCAGGCCUCACAUUUUGAAUAUUCCUGCCUCAGCCUCAUGAAUAGCUGAGAUUAUAAGCGGGCAUCCUGCUUGGCUUCAUGCAUUGUUAAUAAUACAUUCCAAGAAGUGGAAUUAUUGGGUCAAUAGAUACAAAUACCCCCCAUGGUUAUGAUCAUUUCAUUGAUGUACCAUAAUGAGAAUAAUAUUUAUUAACCUUCCUCUUUGGAAUUCUACAAUGGGAACACAUGGGCAGCUCCUUCUCCCCUAUACCCAGCAGAGACAUUAAUAAUUUGUCAUAACAUUUAGUAAGAAAAUGAGAUAAGUAUAGAUUCCCAUGCUGCUGUUAAGAAAUAAUACAGUGAUCUCAUGUGCACCUUGCCCACUUUCACUGAAUGGUAACGGUUUGCAAAGCCAUAUUAUGAUAUCACAGCCAGAAUAUUGACAUUGCUACAAUCUACCGGCCUUGUAAAUGUUUCUCUUGUUCUUGUCUGGGUAUGUGUAUAUUAAGUCCUAAGCUGUUUUAUUACCUGUGUAAGUUUGUAUAUCCACCACUAUAGUCCCAGCACCACAAAGAUUCCUCAUGUUUUAUUUUUAUAAUCACACCUAUUUCUCUACCCCCGCUUAAUAUUUUGUACCACUACUCUGUCCUCCUCUUCUAAAUUUUGUCACUUCAGGAACUGAAACAUACAACACGUAACCUUUUAGGAUUGGGUCUUUUCACACAGCACAAUUCCCAGGAGAUCAUCCAAGUUUUCGUGGGUAUCAACGGUUCACUGCUUUCAUUUAUCUCCAGUAUAGAUACACCACAGCUUCUUUAACCAUUCACCUGUCGGAGGACAUCUGGGCUGAUUCCAGUUUUGGGCUAUUACAAAUAAAGUUGUUAUGAACCAUCAUGUAUGAAUUUUUGUAUGAACAUAAAUAUUUUUAAUGUUAACAAAUUGUCUUAUCAGCAAAAGUUCUCUCACUUUGUUCGCUAGUACUAGCAAUGAAUGAAGUUGCCCAUUUUACUUAGUUUGCUGAAUGUUUUAUAGUCGUGAUUAUUAACCCCCGUUAUGGUUUCUACCUAGAUGUCCGCCCAAAGCCUCAUGUGCUCGCGGGGCUGGGUGGUGGGGGGUGUCACGGCUGCCUGGCUCUUAAGAGGUGGGUCUGGUUGGAAGAGGGUCACUGGGGCGGGACCAGAAGAGUGUGUCUCCCUCCCUGGCUCCUCCCGUACCUCCGCCAGGACCUGAGCAGCUUUACCCUCCCAGACCCUUCUGCUUUGCUGUUUCUAUGUUUGAGUCUGCCAAAUGGACUGAAACUUCUAAAAUGGAAGCCAAAAUAAAUGUCUU
Heterocephalus glaber (naked mole-rat) is the source of this 7577-nucleotide long non-coding RNA. The record is from Ensembl. NCBI's taxonomy places the organism in Eukaryota, Metazoa, Chordata, Mammalia, Rodentia, Bathyergidae.